Non-coding RNA from Erinaceus europaeus (western European hedgehog), 115 nucleotides. The record is from Rfam. NCBI's taxonomy places the organism in Eukaryota, Metazoa, Chordata, Mammalia, Eulipotyphla, Erinaceidae.
GUCUACAGUCAUAGCACCGUGAACACGCCCGAUCUCAUCCGAUCUCUGAAGCUAAGCAGAGCCGGGCCUGGUUAGUACUUGGAUGGGAAAAAGUUGGAUUAGGGCACAGAAUAGC